Molecule: ribosomal RNA, 1386 nt
Filed under: uncultured bacterium
Lineage: Bacteria
Description: bacterial SSU rRNA
Rfam family: Bacterial small subunit ribosomal RNA
Source: RNAcentral
GAAUUCGCCCUUAGAGUUUGAUCCUGGCUCAGGACGAACGCUGGCGGCGCGCCUAACACAUGCAAGUCGAACGGUGAAGAGGAGCUUGCUCCUCGGAUCAGUGGCGGACGGGUGAGUAACACGUGAGCAACCUGCCUUUCAGUGGGGGACAACAGUUGGAAACGACUGCUAAUACCGCAUAACGUGCCGGAGGGGCAUCCUUUUGGUACCAAAGAUUUAUCGCUGGAAGAUGGGCUCGCGUCUGAUUAGAUAGUUGGUGAGGUAACGGCUCACCAAGUCGACGAUCAGUAGCCGGACUGAGAGGUUGAUCGGCCACAUUGGGACUGAGACACGGCCCAGACUCCUACGGGAGGCAGCAGUGGGGAAUAUUGGACAAUGGGGGAAACCCUUGUCCAGCGACGCCGCGUGAGGGAAGAAGGUUUUCGGAUUGUAAACCUCUGUCAGUGGGGACGAUAAUGACGGUACCCACGGAGGAAGCCACGGCUAACUACGUGCCAGCAGCCGCGGUAAUACGUAGGUGGCAAGCGUUGUCCGGAAUUACUGGGUGUAAAGGGAGCGUAGGCGGGAUGUCAAGUCAGAAGUGAAAAUUAUGGGCUCAACUCAUAACCUGCUUUUGAAACUGAUAUUCUUGAGUGAAGUAGAGGCAAGCGGAAUUCCUAGUGUAGCGGUGAAAUGCGUAGAUAUUAGGAGGAACACCAGUGGCGAAGGCGGCUUGCUGGGCUUUUACUGACGCUGAGGCUCGAAAGCGUGGGGAGCAAACAGGAUUAGAUACCCUGGUAGUCCAUGCUGUAAACGAUGAUUACUAGGUGUGGGGGGAUUGAACCCUUCCGUGCCGGAGUUAACACAAUAAGUAAUCCACCUGGGGAGUACGACCGCAAGGUUGAAACUCAAAGGAAUUGACGGGGGCCCGCACAAGCAGUGGAGUAUGUGGAUUAAUUCGAUGCAACGCGAAGAACCUUACCAGGUCUUGACAUCAAGUGCAAGUCCCAGAGAUGGGAUCCUCUCUUCGGAGGCACGAAGACAGGUGGUGCAUGGUUGUCGUCAGCUCGUGUCGUGAGGUGUCGGGUUAAGUCCCAUAACGAGCGCAACCCCUACCGUUAGUUGCCAUCAGGUCAAGCUGGGCACUCUGGCGGGACUGCCGGUGUAAGCCGAGAGGAAGGUGGGGAUGACGUCAAAUCAGCACGGCCCUUACGUCCGGGGCUACACACGUGUUACAAUGGCAGGUACAGAGGGCAGCUACCCAGCGAUGGGAUGCGAAUCUCGAAAGCCUGUCUCAGUUCGGAUUGGAGGCUGAAACCCGCCUCCAUGAAGUUGGAUUCGCUAGUAAUCGCGCAUCAGCCAUGGCGCGGUGAAUACGCACCCGGGCCUUGCACACACCGCCCGUCA